This 116-nucleotide ribosomal RNA is filed under the name Pteropus alecto (black flying fox). The record is from RNAcentral. Lineage: Eukaryota; Metazoa; Chordata; Mammalia; Chiroptera; Pteropodidae.
GUCUACGCCCAUGCCACCCUGAACAAGCCUGAUGUCUGAUCUCAGAAGCUAAGCAGGGUCAGGCGUGGUUAGUACUUGGAUGGGAGACCACCUAGGAAGACCAGGUGCUAUAGGCA